CAAACUAGAGAUGCUUUGUAUGAAGGUGGGCUGUGUUAACACGGACAGGUGCAGACAUGGGGGGGCUUUUAUCCAACUACUGCUCACCGG
This is a long non-coding RNA of Etheostoma spectabile (orangethroat darter), 90 nucleotides long. RefSeq lists it as uncharacterized. The transcript is spliced from 3 exons. NCBI's taxonomy places the organism in Eukaryota, Metazoa, Chordata, Actinopteri, Perciformes, Percidae. The record is from RefSeq and is a predicted model, not a curated record.